CCUCGCCUCAGUCUCACACUCUCAGCUGGAGAGGAUUCUGCUCCCAGCUGCCCUGGAUAUGCAUCAUGCGCCCAGCGUCUCCUCCCAUCUACACCCCAGCAAGAAGGACGAGCUUUCUGAAGUGAGUCCAGCACUGUCCGGAGCCCCUGAGACUCAGAGAAAUUCGUAAUACAUUUCACGUCACACCCACCUGCUCUCCGCUGGGCCAGACGAGAGGGAGUGACAAGCUUUGGGAUUGAACUCAGGACCUUGAGCUUUUGAAGCAAGCGGCAGAACCACUGAGCUAAACCCCUGGCCCUCUGGUUCUUUUGAGUACUGGAGAUUGAACUCAGGACCUUGUGCUUGCCAAGCAGAUUCUUCUUACAGAAAUCACUGAAUUCAGGGCAAGAAACUCUGUGGAUAUUGGGUGUCCUCUCUGAAACCAUGCCUUUUCUUAGAACUUCUGACUCAGUUGGGGCUUCUUGAUUUAUAUUGAAAAGAAUGAGCAUAGCUUCCUUCCUGUCACAAUUACCACUGACUGGUCUGGGCCUCCGCCAAAAAGGACUAGCAGAGAUGAAUCUGGUCGGGGCCACUGGCUCAGAAGAAAGAAGCAUAAGAAUACCUGAGACCGAUAUAGGCAGUGAUAGCAGUGAAGUGCAGCAGUGACAUCCUUCAGUGCCUGAGCUGGAUGGAGAGCUGGUUCACAAGUGGAG
Long non-coding RNA from Heterocephalus glaber (naked mole-rat), 692 nucleotides. The record is from Ensembl. NCBI's taxonomy places the organism in Eukaryota, Metazoa, Chordata, Mammalia, Rodentia, Bathyergidae.